GUGAGGAAUAUUGGUCAAUGGUCGAGAGACUGAACCAGCCAAGUAGCGUGCAGGAUGACGGCCCUAUGGGUUGUAAACUGCUUUUAUACGGGGAUAAAGUGAGCCACGUGUGGUUUUUUGCAGGUACCGUAUGAAUAAGGACCGGCUAAUUCCGUGCCAGCAGCCGCGGUAAUACGGAAGGUCCGGGCGUUAUCCGGAUUUAUUGGGUUUAAAGGGAGCGCAGGCGGGUUGUUAAGCGUGACGUGAAAUGUAGCCGCUCAACGGCUGAACUGCGUCGCGAACUGGCAGUCUUGAGUGAGUACGACGUCAGCGGAAUUCGUGGUGUAGCGGUGAAAUGCUUAGAUAUCACGAAGAACCCCGAUUGCGAAGGCAGCUGACGAGUCCUUUACUGACGCUAAAGCUCGAAGGUGCGGGUAUCGAACAGG
RNAcentral lists this ribosomal RNA (425 nucleotides) under uncultured rumen bacterium. RNAcentral's name for it is "bacterial SSU rRNA". It matches the Rfam family "Bacterial small subunit ribosomal RNA", at positions 354 to 776 of the family's 1533-position model. The record is from RNAcentral.